This 289-nucleotide ribosomal RNA is filed under the name uncultured bacterium. Its description in RNAcentral is "partial 16S ribosomal RNA". It matches the Rfam family "Bacterial small subunit ribosomal RNA", at positions 773 to 1060 of the family's 1533-position model. The record is from RNAcentral.
GUGGAUUAGAUACCCUGGUAGUCCACGCCGUAAACGAUGUCAACUAGCCGUUGGUCUUAUUCGUAAGAUUCGUGGCGCAGCUAACGCGAUAAGUUGACCGCCUGGGGAGUACGGCCGCAAGGUUAAAACUCAAAUGAAUUGACGGGGGCCCGCACAAGCGGUGGAGCAUGUGGUUUAAUUCGAUGCAACGCGAAGAACCUUACCUACCCUUGACAUCCAGAGAAUCUGUGAGAGAUCGUAGAGUGCCUUCGGGAACUCUGAGACAGGUGCUGCACGGCCGUCGCCAGCU